This 253-nucleotide ribosomal RNA is filed under the name uncultured bacterium. RNAcentral describes it as "partial 16S ribosomal RNA". It matches the Rfam family "Bacterial small subunit ribosomal RNA", at positions 524 to 776 of the family's 1533-position model. The record is from RNAcentral.
UACGGAGGGUGCUAACGUUAUCCGGAAUCACUGGGCGUAAAGAGCAUGUAGGUGGCUUGGUCAGUGGACGAUUAAAUACCGACGCUUAACGUCGGGAGUGUUGUCCAUACUGCCAGGCUAGAGGGAGACAGGGGCAAGCGGAACUUUAGGUGUAGGAGUGAAAUCCGUAGAUAUCUAAAGGAACACCAAUGGCGAAGGCAGCUUGCUGGGUCUUUUCUGACACUGAGAUGCUAAAGCGUGGGGAGCAAACGGG